This 468-nucleotide ribosomal RNA is filed under the name uncultured bacterium. RNAcentral describes it as "partial 16S ribosomal RNA". It matches the Rfam family "Bacterial small subunit ribosomal RNA", at positions 28 to 507 of the family's 1533-position model. The record is from RNAcentral.
GACGAACGCUGGCGGCGUGCUUAACACAUGCAAGUCGAACGGAAAGGCCCUGCUUUUGUGGGGUGCUCGAGUGGCGAACGGGUGAGUAACACGUGAGUAACCUGCCCUUGACUUUGGGAUAACUUCAGGAAACUGGGGCUAAUACCGGAUAGGAGCUCCCGCUGCAUGGUGGGGGUUGGAAAGUUUCGGCGGUUGGGGAUGGACUCGCGGCUUAUCAGCUUGUUGGUGGGGUAGUGGCUUACCAAGGCUUUGACGGGUAGCCGGCCUGAGAGGGUGACCGGCCACAUUGGGACUGAGAUACGGCCCAGACUCCUACGGGAGGCUGCAGUGGGGAAUAUUGCACAAUGGGCGGAAGCCUGAUGCAGCAACGCCGCGUGCGGGAUGACGGCCUUCGGGUUGUAAACCGCUUUCGCCUAUGACGAAGCGUGAGUGACGGUAAUGGGUAAAGAAGCACCGGCUAACUACGUG